RNAcentral lists this ribosomal RNA (500 nucleotides) under uncultured bacterium. RNAcentral describes it as "partial 16S ribosomal RNA". It matches the Rfam family "Bacterial small subunit ribosomal RNA", at positions 29 to 523 of the family's 1533-position model. The record is from RNAcentral.
AUUGAACGCUGGCGGCAUGCUUUACACAUGCAAGUCGAACGGCAGCACGGGGGCAACCCUGGUGGCGAGUGGCGAACGGGUGAGUAAUGCAUCGGAACGUGCCCUGUCGUGGGGGAUAACACAUCGAAAGAUGUGCUAAUACCGCAUACGACCUGAGGGUGAAAGCGGGGGACCGUAAGGCCUCGCGCGAUAGGAGCGGCCGAUGUCUGAUUAGCUAGUUGGUGGGGUAAAGGCCUACCAAGGCGACGAUCAGUAGCUGGUCUGAGAGGACGACCAGCCACACUGGGACUGCGACACGGCCCAGACUCCUACGGGAGGCAGCAGUGGGGAAUUUUGGACAAUGGGGGCAACCCUGAUCCAGCCAUGCCGCGUGCGGGAAGAAGGCCUUCGGGUUGUAAACCGCUUUUGGCAGGAACGAAACGGUGCGGGCGAAUACCCUGUGCUAAUGACGGUACCUGCAGAAUAAGCACCGGCUAACUACGUGCCAGCCGCCGCCGUAA